Molecule: ribosomal RNA, 455 nt
Filed under: uncultured bacterium
Lineage: Bacteria
Description: SSU rRNA
Rfam family: Bacterial small subunit ribosomal RNA
Source: RNAcentral
AGGAUGAACGCUGGCGGCGUGCCUAAUACAUGCAAGUCGAGCGGUAAGGCCCCUUCGGGGGUACACGAGCGGCGGACGGCUGAGUAACACGUAGGAACGUACCCCAAACUGAGGGAUAAGCACCAGAAAUGGUGUCUAAUACCGCAUGUGGUCUUCGGAUUAAAGCUUCGGCGGUUUGGGAACGGCCUGCGCAUGAUUAGCUUGUUGGUGAGGUAAAAGCUUACCAAGGCGACGAUCAUUAGCUGGUCUGAGAGGAUGAUCAGCCAGACUGGGACUGAGAACGGCCCAGACUCCUACGGGAGGCAGCAGUAGGGAAUUUUCCACAAUGGGCGAAAGCCUGAUGGAGCAACGCCGCGUGCAGGAUGAAUGCCUUCGGGUUGUAAACUGCUUUUAUCUGUGAAGAUUAUGACGGUAGCAGAUGAAUAAGGAUCGGCUAACUCCGUGCCAGCAGCCGC